Molecule: small RNA, 132 nt
Filed under: Klebsiella pneumoniae
Lineage: Bacteria; Pseudomonadati; Pseudomonadota; Gammaproteobacteria; Enterobacterales; Enterobacteriaceae
Description: RtT sRNA
Rfam family: RtT RNA
About the family: This family represents a bacterial cis-regulatory element known as RtT RNA.
Source: RNAcentral
UAUUCUGCCCCACGGGGAAGGAUGAGAAGCUUCGACAAAGGUUCGACUCGAGCGAAGCGAGAGAACGUUGCCGCAGGCAAAGGCCCGAAGGGCGAGGAGCGAUAGCGACGAGUUAUCCUUCCCCCACCACCA